This 105-nucleotide transfer RNA is filed under the name Botrytis cinerea. RNAcentral's name for it is "tRNA-Glu". It matches the Rfam family "tRNA". Rfam says of the family: Transfer RNA (tRNA) molecules are approximately 80 nucleotides in length. RNAcentral also lists the same sequence under 1 other name. Lineage: Eukaryota; Fungi; Ascomycota; Leotiomycetes; Helotiales; Sclerotiniaceae. The record is from RNAcentral.
UCCGAAUUAGUGUAGGGGUUAACAUAACUCGCUUUCAUGACCAUCAAUCAUUACAUGAUAUGUUCUGGAGCCGAGUAGCCCCGGGUUCGAUUCCCGGAUUCGGAA